GAUGAAGAACGUAGCAAAAUGCGAUAAGUAGUGUGAAUUGCAGAAUUCAGUGAAUCAUCGAAUCUUUGAACGCACAUUGCGCCCCUUGGUAUUCCAUGGGGCAUGCCUGUUCGAGCGUCAUUUGUACCUUCAAGCUUUGCUUGGUGUUGGGUGUUUGUCUCGCCUUUGCGUGUAGACUCGCCUUAAAAUAAUUGGCAGCCGGCGUAUUGAUUUCGGAGCGCAGUACAUCUCGCGCUUUGCACUCAUAACGACAGCGUCCAAAAGUACAUUUUACACUCUUGACCUCGGAUCAGGUAGGGAUACCCGCUGAACUUAAGCAUAUCAAUAAGCGGAGGA
Molecule: unclassified non-coding RNA, 336 nt
Filed under: soil metagenome
Description: partial contains 5.8S ribosomal RNA, internal transcribed spacer 2, and large subunit ribosomal RNA
Rfam family: 5.8S ribosomal RNA (bases 1-120)
Source: RNAcentral